AUUGAACGCUGGCGGCAUGCCUUACACAUGCAAGUCGAACGGCAGCACGGGUGCUUGCACCUGGUGGCGAGUGGCGAACGGGUGAGUAAUACAUCGGAACAUGUCCUGUAGUGGGGGAUAGCCCGGCGAAAGCCGGAUUAAUACCGCAUACGAUCUACGGAUGAAAGCGGGGGACCUUCGGGCCUCGCGCUAUAGGGUUGGCCGAUGGCUGAUUAGCUAGUUGGUGGGGUAAAGGCCUACCAAGGCGACGAUCAGUAGCUGGUCUGAGAGGACGACCAGCCACACUGGGACUGAGACACGGCCCAGACUCCUACGGGAGGCAGCAGUGGGGAAUUUUGGACAAUGGGCGAAAGCCUGAUCCAGCAAUGCCGCGUGUGUGAAGAAGGCCUUCGGGUUGUAAAGCACUUUUGUCCGGAAAGAAAUCCUUGGCCCUAAUACGGUCGGGGAUGACGGUACCGGAAGAAUAAGCACCGGCUAACUACGUG
This 485-nucleotide ribosomal RNA is filed under the name uncultured bacterium. Its description in RNAcentral is "partial 16S ribosomal RNA". It matches the Rfam family "Bacterial small subunit ribosomal RNA", at positions 30 to 507 of the family's 1533-position model. The record is from RNAcentral.